UGCUUGCACCUGGUGGCGAGUGGCGAACGGGUGAGUAAUAUAUCGGAACGUGCCCUAGAGUGGGGGAUAACGUAGCGAAAGUUACGCUAAUACCGCAUACGAUCUACGGAUGAAAGUGGGGGAUCGCAAGACCUCAUGCUCCUGGAGCGGCCGAUAUCUGAUUAGCUAGUUGGUGGGGUAAUAGCCCACCAAGGCGACGAUCAGUAGCUGGUCUGAGAGGACGACCAGCCACACUGGGACUGAGACACGGCCCAGACUCC
This 260-nucleotide ribosomal RNA is filed under the name unidentified marine bacterioplankton. Its description in RNAcentral is "partial 16S ribosomal RNA". It matches the Rfam family "Bacterial small subunit ribosomal RNA", at positions 77 to 339 of the family's 1533-position model. The record is from RNAcentral.